GACGAACCGUGCGAACGUUGUUCGGAAUCACUGGGCUUAAAGGGCGCGUAGGCGGGCAGGCAAGUCUGGGGUGAAAGCCCACGGCUCAACCGUGGAAGCGCCUUGGAUACUGCCGGCCUCGAGGGAGGUAGGGGCGUGCGGAACUUCCGGUGGAGCGGUGAAAUGCGUAGAUAUCAUUAGGAACGCCGGUGGCGAAAGCGCUCGACUGGACCUCUUCUGACGCUGAGGCGCGAAAGCUAGGGGAGCAAACAGG
This 253-nucleotide ribosomal RNA is filed under the name uncultured bacterium. RNAcentral describes it as "partial 16S ribosomal RNA". It matches the Rfam family "Bacterial small subunit ribosomal RNA", at positions 524 to 776 of the family's 1533-position model. The record is from RNAcentral.